AUGGGCAUCCUUGAUUCUUGGCACAAGGAAGACUCCUGUCAGUGGAGAGGCGUGAAGUGCAGCAACCGGACCGACCGUGUCCUUAGGCUUCAUCUUCGUAAUGUGCUCCUUGAUGGGUUUUACGGAGACACGGCUUUGGUUGGCGAGAUAAGUAAUUCUUUGCUCUCCAUGGAUCGUCUAGUGCACCUUGAUCUUAGCAUGAAUUGCCUCGAGGGCCCAAGCGGCCACAUUCCGGAGUUCUUGGCCUCUUUGACGGGAUUGAGAUAUCUCAACCUCUCCGGCAUACCAUUUUUUGGCAGAGUGCCCCCUCAUCUCGGAAACCUCUCAAACUUGCGGCAUCUUGACCUCUCAUGCCAAUUUCAAAGUAUGUACUCAAGAGACAUUUCAUGGAUAGCGCGCAUACCUAAUUUGCAGUAUCUUAGACUGAAUUCGGUAAACCUCAGCACAAUAGCUGAUUGGCCUUAUGUUGUCAACAUGAUUCCUUCUUUGAAGGCCCUCGAUCUUGGGUUUUGCUAUCUUCCGACCGCAAAUCAUUCACUCCCACAUAUUAACCUCACCAAACUCGAGAGGCUUGAUCUCUCCGGCAACACCUUUGCCCACCUAAUGGCAAGGGGAUGGUUUUGGAAUUUGACAAGCCUCCAAGAUCUCUACCUUUCUGAAACUCAACUGUACGGUCAACCUCCUGAUGCACUGGCACAUAUGACGUCCCUCCGAGUCCUUGAUUUUUCAUCUAAUCAUAACAUGGGGACGAUGACUACAAGCUUCAGAAAACUAUGCAAUUUGAGAAUUCUGGACCUUUCCUUUUGUCAAAUUGUUGGAAAUAUAAAGGAUAUUGUUGGGAGGAUGCCCCAGUGUCCCUUGAACAAACUGCACGAGCUGUAUUUGGGCUCCAACAAUAUUACCAGAAUCAUGCCGGAUCAGAUACCACACUUGACCAGCUUAGUCAUUCUUGACAUCGCUCGGAACAACCUAAUUGGAGGCAUACCACGAGGGGUGGGGCUGCUCUCUAGAUUAAGAAGACUUGAUCUCUCUUCCAACAAUCUCAGUGGAUCUGUGCCAUCUGAGAUCGGUAUGCUCAGCAAUUUGACCAUGAUGGAUCUCACACUCAACAACUUGAACGGUGACUUCACUGAAGAACAUUUAACAAGUCUAACGAGGUUGAGAAGGUUGCAUUUAAGAUGGAAUUAUUUGAGGAUUACAGUUGGUCCCGAUUGGAUACCACCCUUCAGUUUAGAAGAAAUAACUCUUGGCUCUUGCCAACUGGGCCCUUUGUUUCCUGCAUGGCUUCAAUUCCAAGUGGACAUUCGAUUGAUGGAUAUAUCAUCCACAGGUAUAGUUGAUAGGAUUCCUCACUGGUUCAGCACUACAUUUGCAAAGGUCACAGAUCUGGACAUCUCCAACAAUGAAAUCAGCGGCAGGUUGCCAAUAAACAUGGAAUUCAUGUCACUGCAAUAUUUCUCAAUCAAUUCAAAUAACCUAACUGGUGAACUCCCUAACUUACCAACAAAUAUUACCUCCCUGGACAUGUCUAGAAACUCUUUAUCUGGAACUUUGCCAUCAAACAUUGGGACUCCACAUUUGAUUUCAUUAGCUCUGGUUUCCAAUCAAAUAACCGGUUCUAUUCCCGAAUCUCUCUGCAAAGCGGAAUUCUUGGAAUCAUUGGACUUAAGGAACAAUCUUCUCGAGGGACAACUUCCUUGGUGUUUUGGGGUGAAGGACAUUUCCUUUCUCAUGUUGAGUAACAAUAGUUUCUCUGGCAACUUCCCACCGUUUGUAAAAGACUGUAGACGAUUGGAGGCUCUAGAUCUAUCACGUAAUAGUUUUUCUGGAAGGUUGCCAUUGUGGAUUGGAGAUUUGGUUGAAUUACGAUUUUUGCGUCUAAAUCAGAAUAUGUUUUCCGGAGAAAUCCCAGCUACCAUCUCAAAUCUUAGUCACCUUCACCACCUGAACCUAGCAGGCAAUGGCUUAUCAGGUCCCAUAACGUGGCAUCUGUCAAAUGUGACGGGCAUGACAGGAAAAUAUGUAAAGGAUUAUAUGUUCGACUCAAUACCUUAUGGCAGUUACUCGCAUAAGUUGCGUACAUAUAGUUUUUCCUCUGUGGUCGUCAAGGGACGUGAACUUGAUUAUGAUAUUCACAUUAUGGAUUUGGUGAGCAUUGAUUUAUCUUUCAACCAAUUAACUGGGAGAAUACCAGAAGAAAUAGUAGCUCUUGAUGCGUUGAUAAUCUUGAAUCUAUCGUGGAACCAAUUGAGUGGGAAAAUACCAAAUAAGCUUGGGGCCUUGCAUGCUCUGGAAUCACUUGACCUCUCAAGGAACAUGCUUUCUGGCAGAAUCCCUCCGAGCCUGUCAGAUAUAACCUAUUUGAGCUACUUGAACUUGUCUGAUAACAAUCUAACAGGGAGAAUACCAUCAGGACAUCAGCUCGACACCCUCUACACACAGCAACCUUCCAUGUACAGUGGCAACAGUGGUCUAUGUGGGCCUCCUCUUCCGAACAGUUGCCCCGGAAAGAAUGUUACAAGGCAAGAUGAUCAAAAAAGGAAUGAACAUUCCUUUGAACCAAUGACCUUUUAUUUUGGACUCGCUCUGGGAUUUGUUUUGGGUCUCUGGGUGGUGUUUUGUGUCUUGUUGUUUAAGAGAGAAUGGAGGACUGCUUAUUUCUGCAUGGUUGACAAGACAUAUGAUCAGAUGUAUGUGUUUGCCGUUCUUACAUGGAAAAGCUGGACAAGAAAGAGGACUACAAAUUGA
RNAcentral lists this ribosomal RNA (2748 nucleotides) under Triticum aestivum (bread wheat). RNAcentral describes it as "partial small subunit ribosomal RNA". The record is from RNAcentral. Lineage: Eukaryota; Viridiplantae; Streptophyta; Magnoliopsida; Poales; Poaceae.